CUUGUCAAGCAGCAUAAUGAAGAUGUAAUGGAAUAUGAAAGAAGAAAACAAGCAAGAGGACAUAAGUGUAGAGAAUGUUCAUAGCUGAUGACACGGUCACAAAGAUAUGUGCACUACAGGGCCAAGUGUAUGUGGUCGUUUUCCUACGAAUAAAUGAGCACAGAAGAAGUAAAAAGUUACCUAAUUGCUUGCAUGUUCAUACAUUUCAUGUGCAUAAUUAAAAAUAAAUUAUAAAGUCUAGAAGAAACCUGAAACUACUUUCUUUACCAUUAAUAUUUCAUUCUGCUGGUCUUGAAGUUGUUUUAUGUUUUUAUUUCCAUUUAAUAGUUUAUCAGUCUUAUUUUCAAAACUGUCUUUGCUAUUCUGGAAGGUAUAUUACAAAAUUAAACAUCAGUUCAGAUUAGGUUCAGUAAAUAUUCCAGAAUAUUCCAGUCUUGCUCUGCCAUCACUUUCACUGCUAAAUUUAUAAAAUGAGCAAAUAUAAGAAUAGCAUCUGUAUAAAUGCUAAAAUAUGCAUUUUCCUGUGAGCAUUUUGGGAACUGGCCAUGCCUGAAAGGUGCCCACAGGGGAUGAACUACACAGCCCAUGUCAGUCUUGGGUGUGAGCACUGCCUUCUGAACACUUCUGCCCUCUCUUUGUGCAUCAAGGUCAGUCAAGGACAGAGGCUGGAAAAAGGGCAUCAUGGCAGACUAUGAUGGCAUUAGAUGAUCAUUGAGGGAAGAAGGAAGCUCUGGAUAGAGAAAGGAGGAGAAACAGAGCUACUGCCUAACAAUGUAGGUAGGACAAGGAUAGCUGCCCAGGUUUGAUGCGGAAACACCCAUGGUUGUGACAGUCGACAUGAUACCAGAGCAGCGAUUCACUUCGAGUGUCUCACUGCCAACACCGACUGCCUUUGGCACGGUGCUUAACCCGAGUGCUCUUCUCAAUUUUUUUUUUUUUUUCUCUUGGAAAAAUUCCUUUUUAAGUAAAACAGUAGUUUCUCCCUAUGUUCUUUCUCCUUGGUAAAUGCCAUCCCUAUUAUCCAGGGUCUGUUGUUGCAGUCAGUACCGAACGCCCUUUACUUGCCAAUGGGGCAGGUCGGUAUCGGCAGCGCCCGGCUCUGCGCAAUGUGCGCUCCGCUCCAGAAAGCCGCUUCCCCCUCCCGCUGCCGCUGGGGCUCCUACGGCGCCGUUCCCGGGACACCCCCGGCCGGGAGCGGCGUCCUGGUACGCGGGGCGGGGUGGGGCUGCGGCUCGACCCGCCCCCGCGGCGCCCGAGGCGGGAGCGGUGUCUGCGGCCGCAUCCCCGCCACGACGGGCAGCUGAGAGUCGGCUUCGUUCUGCUCCGCUCCGCCGCCCGCUGCUUGGCCAUGUCCCUCUGCAGGACCGCCUCGCAGGCGCUGGCCUCCCUCCUGAGCAGGGUUCCUUCCGCCGCCAGCCGCCUCAAGCAGCGAGCGCCUCCUCGCCAGAUGUCAUCUGGGAGUGUUCCUGGCUCUUCUAGAGACAGCAUGAUGAUCUAUCUGCUUGCUGGUGUUGCUGUUGGUGGUUUAUUUUAUGCCUACAGAGUAGUCAGUUCACCCCGCAGCAAGUUUGUUGAACAUAAAAAUAUUCUUCAUGAGAGAGCCGAGGGGCAGAAAAGCAAUCCUUGGUCAAGAAAGGAAGGUGAUGGAGAAGAAGUGGAUGAAGUCACUGGAGCAGAGAAGACCAUGGAAGAAGCUGAUGCAGCAGCUUCUGUUGAACCUGCAGCACAGGAUGAGCGUGCUGGACCUACAGCACAGGAUGAGACUUCUGGGGUAUCCCCAGAAGCUGGAGGGGAGAAUGACUUACUGGCUCCAGAGGUAUCCCAUGCUGUGGAAGAAGCACAGCAGGAAGCUCCUGCUAAUUCAGAAGCUGCUGCUAAUUUGGAACUUGCUGCUAAUUCAGAAGCUGCUGCAGUUCAAGAAACUGUGAAUAAAGUCUCGGAUCUUGCAGCUUCUUCUGCCCAUGAGGAAAACUUAGACAGUGACAAGGAAGGAGUAGCCUCAGCAGCUCAAGAGAUUUCUGAUACAGACUCAAAGAGCCAGGACAACGAUGCUGAGGAGUUGUGGUGAACUUCAGGGGGUGCAAGAGUCCAGCUGGGUCUGAAAUUUUCUGAGGAGGAGAAGACAACUGAAGAAGUUGGUAAAGAACCCUAAAGUAAACAGUGUGGACGUCUUUGAAAAGUUUAAUGCAAAUAUUUGUGGCAAUUAACCAGCUGAUUCCUGUGUGAAACCUCUCUUCCUUGAAGACAUAAAAGAAACUGUGCAGUUUGUCCUACCACACAUUGGUCAUUAUGGCCAGUAUUCAGUGCUGAAGGAAAUGAAUUGCAUUGCCUAGAGAAAUGCUUCUGUGACUAACAACUCUGCUGUAGAAAGUAGCAUCCAGUGAAGCCACUCAGCAUGUCCUAAAUACAUGUGCUAAGAGAAGCAGUAUGAUGCCAGAUGAACUCCUUCUAUGUCUUUGUUGUCCUGAUAUGUACAUUGAUUUCUUACUUUUGGUCCAAACUGUUGUGCAUAGUUUUACAUUAGCAUUCCAUGCUAAAAUGUAAGCAAAAGGUUUUAAAAUCAAGCCAAAAUAUUAUAAAAGUAACUGUUAGCAUUUUCAAAUUGGAUCACAGGAAAAAUAACAACAUGUUUGCUCCUGAGUUUGGAUUUGUGAUUGUAAGCAUAGGACAUCUGGCUGCACAUGACCUAAUUUUCCUCCUGCAUAAGCAUUUCAGCUGCUACCAUUCCUUGCACAGUAACAUCCAGGAGUAAACAUUUUAAGGCUCCUGCUUUGGGAAGAAAACCUGUUCACAAGUAGUAGCCGUAGGUACUUUAUAGCCUGACAAUCAAAAUAGCACUGGUUGGCGUUUUCAUCAUGUAUCAAAGUGGUGGCUGGCUCCUGCCUUGGGUGUGCUGGGCUCUGCUCCUCCCAAAUCUCAUUCAGCUUGCUAGUCUUUUCGUGUUGCUCUGUCUUGGCAGUGGCAUGUAGUGGUAGUGUAACAACACGAAAGCUUGGUAUAAACCUUCAAGCUGAUACAAAUCACAAGCCUGUCUCUAGAGCAUUUGUACACGGAGUGCAAAAUCCCUGUGAAGGGCUAUGCAACAGGUCUUCAAAUGGACAGGCAUUCUUAGGGACUAAAAAAGGACCAAAUAGCUAAAUAACCUUGUUUUCUCAGUAUUAGCUUAAUAAAAAAUACAUUUAUUAUGAAUAACAGGUUUGUUUGUGUCUCGGUUUGGAAAGAAAGGUGUCUGCUAAGGAAGGCAGGAGCCUCUCCUAAAAUGGAAAAAAUGUAAACCCCCCUCCCUCCAAAUUUUUAUAAAUUUGAAAUUAAGGGGCUCUCAGGCAAAAA
This is an RNA transcript of Pyrgilauda ruficollis (rufous-necked snowfinch), 3330 nucleotides long. RefSeq lists it as uncharacterized. The transcript has 8 exons. Lineage: Eukaryota; Metazoa; Chordata; Aves; Passeriformes; Passeridae. The record is from RefSeq and is a predicted model, not a curated record.